This is a small nucleolar RNA of Erpetoichthys calabaricus (reedfish), 78 nucleotides long. The record is from Ensembl. Lineage: Eukaryota; Metazoa; Chordata; Cladistia; Polypteriformes; Polypteridae.
CGAGUAGCUAUGAUGAAGCUUUUUUGCUGCUUUCCGAGCAACGUGUGUGGAAAACAACCUUGGAGAGCUGAGCACUCG